CAGCCGCCACGGGAAUACGUAGGUGGCAAGCGUUGUCCGGAAUUAUUGGGCGUAAAGGGCUCGCAGGCGGUUUCUUAAGUCUGAUGUGAAAGCCCCCGGCUCAACCGGGGAGGGUCAUUGGAAACUGGGAAACUUGGGUGCAGAAGAGGAGAGUGGAAUUCCACGUGUAGCGGUGAAAUGCGUAGAGAUGUGGAGGAACACCAGUGGCGAAGGCGACUCUCUGGUCUGUAACUGACGCUGAGGAGCGAAAGCGUGGGGAGCGAACAGGAUUAGAUACCCCCGUAGUCCCUGUCUCUUAUAC
This 301-nucleotide ribosomal RNA is filed under the name uncultured bacterium. Its description in RNAcentral is "partial 16S ribosomal RNA". It matches the Rfam family "Bacterial small subunit ribosomal RNA", at positions 509 to 807 of the family's 1533-position model. The record is from RNAcentral.